This is a long non-coding RNA of Cynocephalus volans (Philippine flying lemur), 2062 nucleotides long. RefSeq lists it as uncharacterized. The record is from RefSeq and is a predicted model, not a curated record. The transcript has 4 exons. NCBI's taxonomy places the organism in Eukaryota, Metazoa, Chordata, Mammalia, Dermoptera, Cynocephalidae.
CUCAGGUAGUACCCACCCGAAGCCUUGAUGGCGCGUGUCGCAGCAGAGUGGCCCAGCUCCAGGGAGUGGAUGAAGAUCUCUGUCGUCUUCUCCCCGGUGACGAAGGCACGUAGAAGAACUGAAGCUUGAAGAACCGUGUGAGGAGUGGGCGAUUGUUUUCCAGCCGUCUGGCAAGAAGAAGAGGACACCAACAUGAUAGAAAUCCAGCCGUAACCCUGAAGAUAGGAAUGAUGCCCUAGAGGAUGGUGCAGCAACAAGAUGCUGAAGAACCUGGGCCCCUGAAUGACUGUGUGGAGCAGAGUCAGCAGUCUGACUGGACUGUGAGCCUUGGGAACCAGAGCAGGCGAUGGGGACAGUGGGCACAGCCUCACUCUCUCAAGAUCCUCACCUAAUACUCCAGAGAAGCCAGCUUUUUCUCCCACUGCCUGCAGCUUGGUCCUGAGCCACUGCCGGGCCUCUGCUACAUCCCCGAUACCAGAUGCCAGCUCCUGUGCCUCUGCAGUCUCUGCGAAGAUGUCCUCAAGCUCUGCCAGGGUCUUGGACUGAAAGCCCAGGAGGAGACAGUACAUGGUACAGUGCUCCUAUACCAUGGCCUGGCUGCCCGCCUUUUCCAGCUCCCAGGGUCUUACUGAGGACAGCAGUGACCAGUCCCCUCCCUGGCCCGAUCAUCCACCUCUACCCACAGCUGGCCAGGGAGCCAGUCCUCCCCCUCACCCCCUAGUCUCAGAAAUGGUUAGGAGAGAAAGGCCCGAGCCAUAGCACUGCAGUUGGGAGGGACUUCAGUGGUCCUCACUGCACCCCAGAGAAGGGAAGGGGCUCUCCAGGAUGACACAGCUGACCUGCCACAGAGUCAGGACUAGAAGCCAGGUCUUCAGUCCAAAGCUCAUUCCCAUUCCCAUGGCAUAUGCUAUCUUCUGAGGCACCAGGCACUGGCACCCAGCCCACUGCCCACAGUGCCACCUACUCUGGUCAGGAUCCAGCACACCAGAAACCUUCUCCACAAGGCCAGCCCUCCAGCCACUGCCCUGCCAGGUCACUCAGGGUGAGGAAGGCUAGUGAACCCCAGAGACUGCAGCCAAGAAGGAGCAGAGAGGGGGCUCUGUCUCUCCAGAGGAGUGCUCUGCCGGAGCCCCAAGGCCCCAGGGCACUCACACGGUGGAACUGCGGUGACUCCUGAUGGGCAGGCCCUGCUCAGCCCUCACCAGGCGCUGGUAGGAGAUUCCUGUGGGCCGAUGACAAAGAGAAAGUUUGUGGGCUCAUGUGUUCCUCCGGCAUCAUGACCUCGUGCCUCACAAUGAGCCAGGCACUAGAGAACCGGUCAGAAGUCCCAGGAUGAGGCUCAGGGAACUCCAGGGAAGAAAGCUGCUGUUUGGACCCUCCCUUCUGUGUUUCCAUUUACUCAUCGCAAGUAAUCCCCGCCCUGUGAGACCACAGCCUCCAGUCCCCCAAAUCUGUCCUGGGCCUUGCGCUCCUCUGGAUCACCUCAACCUCUCGGGCAGCCCUCCCUUCUUGAGGGCUGCCCACUCCCCUCUUGGCCAUUCUGCCCAAGCCCCGUCCCCAGGCUUGGGGUGGCCUGACUGGAGACACAGGGAUGCAGGGUUAGAGCCUGGGUCAGAAGCCUGAGUUCUAUCCUGGCUCUUCUGCGUGGCCUUGUACAGGUCACUUGAUCCCUGGGCUUGUUACUCCUUAUAAGGGGCAGAUUAGAUCGGUGGCUUCUGAGGCCUUUAACAGGCUAUGAUUCCCAGGACCCACUUCGGCUCUUCAGAGAUGGAGAGGCAGAGCAUGGUGGGAGGGAGAACCUGGGUCCAGCAGGCUGUCCAGUUGUUCCUGGGUCCCCGUCACCAAUCUCUUCUGACUGUGCCCGUGUCUUCCUGCAGUUGAUAUGCCAGGGACCCCUCAGCCUCAGUUCCAGCCAGGCAGUGAGUUUCCAAUCUCCCAGCCUUCCCGCAUCUUCUCAGGGGACUGCUAUCUUCUCUAAGUCUCCGACCCUAGUCCCUCCUCCCAGCCGCAUCCCUGUCCUCUUCCUCCCCAUCUCCUCUGACUUCGAACAUGCCAGAAAAGA